Molecule: ribosomal RNA, 415 nt
Filed under: uncultured bacterium
Lineage: Bacteria
Description: bacterial SSU rRNA
Rfam family: Bacterial small subunit ribosomal RNA
Source: RNAcentral
AGACUCCUACAGGGAGGCAGCAGUGGGGAAUCUUGCACAGAUGGGGGCAACCCUGAUGCAGCGAACGCCGCGUGAGCGAUGAAGCCCUUCGUGGGGUGUAGAGCUCUUUCGGCAGGGAACGAUAAUGACGGUACCUGCAGAAGGUCAGCUGCGGCUAACUACGUGCCAGCAGCACGCGGUAAUACGUAGGCAGCGAGUGCGUUGUUCGGAGUUACUGGGCGUAAAGGGAUGCGUAGGCGGCCGAUUAAGGUUUUGUCGUGAAAUCUCCCGGCUCAACUGGGAGAGGUGCGGCGAAUACUGAAGUCGGCUAGAGUGUGGGAGAGGAGAGUGGAAUUCCAUGGUGUAGCGGUGAAAGUUGCGUAGAUAUCAGGAGGAACACCGGCGGUGUAGAACGGCUCUCUGGACCGAUUAACUG